Molecule: ribosomal RNA, 321 nt
Filed under: uncultured Lactobacillus sp.
Lineage: Bacteria; Bacillati; Bacillota; Bacilli; Lactobacillales; Lactobacillaceae
Description: bacterial SSU rRNA
Rfam family: Bacterial small subunit ribosomal RNA
Source: RNAcentral
UACUCUUGGGAUGGACCUGCGGUGCAUUAGCUAGUUGGUAGGGUAACGGCCUACCAAGGCGAUGAUGCAUAGCCGAGUUGAGAGACUGAUCGGCCACAUUGGGACUGAGACACGGCCCAAAACUCCUACGGGGAGGCAGCAGUAGGGAAAUCUUCCACAAUGGACGCAAGUCUGAUGGAGCAACGCCGCGUGAGUGAAGAAGGGUUUCGGCUCGUAAAGCUCUGUUGUUGGUGAAGAAGGACAGGGGUAGUAACUGACCUUUGUUUGACGGUAAUCAAUUAGAAAGUCACGGCUAACUACGUGCCAGCAGCCGCGGGUAAU